This 1481-nucleotide non-coding RNA is filed under the name Plasmodium gonderi. RNAcentral's name for it is "Eukaryotic large subunit ribosomal RNA". It matches the Rfam family "Eukaryotic large subunit ribosomal RNA", at positions 2389 to 3401 of the family's 3401-position model. The record is from Rfam by way of RNAcentral. Lineage: Eukaryota; Apicomplexa; Aconoidasida; Haemosporida; Plasmodiidae.
AGUGUCAGUAAAGGAAAUAGAAGACUUAGUGUUAACUCGACUCUUAGUUUGGCACUGCACAGAACGACCCAAGAGGUGCAGCCAUAAGUGGAAGUAGAAGAAUUGAAAUUAUAUUAUAAGGAUAUACAUUUGUUUUUUUACGACAAGUGAAAUACCACUACUUUUGGUGUUGUUCCUGCUUAUCCAUUUGUAGAAAAGGGAAAAACAGGGAAAGUUGGGGAUAGAAAUAUACAUAUGUACACAUAUAUGUACACUUAUUUAUCACGUUCUGUAAUAUAUAAGGUUGAUAGGAAGGAAGAAUUUUUUUUUUUUUUAAAAUUUAAAUUUGGACUUAUCUCGCACAUGUAUACAUGUAUGUAUAUAUAUUACUCUCCCCCCACACUUAAUAUGGAUGGAGACAAUGCCAGCUGAAGAGUUUAAGCGAAGGCUAAAAGUGUGAUGAAAACUAAUCUGUUUAGGAGCACAUAGAACAGAUAUAAAAAGUUUCUUCAUUACAGAGAAAGCUCAAAGAGAACAGAAAUCUCUUGUUGACCUUAAGUGGGGAAAACGCUUAUAUAUCUUUACAUCUUCAUGUAGAUGUUUAGAUAUACUUAGCCAUACGCAUAAGUAAUCCCGCACAUAUAUAUUUAUGUGUAUAUAUUAUAUUUAUAGAUAUUUUGCACUAUAACAGAAUGGGCUCCUUUUUCUAUAGGUAGUAUGCAGAUAUACAAAAAAUGGGAUUGUAAAAAAAUAUAGAAGAGUUAGCACAGAAGAUAACUGUCUUGUGGCUGCCGAACGUGAUUUAGUAACGUAGCUUUGUGAUAAAUGUUUUAGACUCUUCCUAUCAUUGGGACGAAGAAGUCUCAAAGUGUCGGAUUGUUCACUCUGUUUAAAAGGGAACGUGAGUCAUAAUUUUUAGACCUUUGUGAAUGAGGUUAUAUAUUAUAAAUUCCUACUGAUGAUUUAUAAAAUUUAUGGUUGUUAAGAACCAUUUAUCGAAAUGUGACAGUAGACCAUAUUAGUACGAGAGGAACAUUUGGUCCAGACCACGGGUACAGCGAUUAGUUGAAAAACUUGUAAUUGCGAAGCCACAUUUGUCUGUUGGAUAAUGGCUGAAUGACUCUAAAGCCAGAACCCAUGCUGAUUAAUAUUUUGAUCUCGCUCUUUCUGAAAAAUUUUUUUACGAUUGUAAAAAAGGAAAGUUAUAUAUGAAUCCAUUAACACGGAGACAUAAAUAUAUCCCAUUAAAGGCCGUUAACACAUAAAUGUGUAUAUAUUAUGUAUGUAAUAUGUACGUAAUAUGUACGUAAUAUGUACGUAAUAUGUAUGUAAUAUAUACACAGGCUAACAUUUUGUAUGUGGCGUGCUUUUUGACUAGUAGAAUAUAUAAGAAAGAUUUUUUUUCAUUUUGUAGCCGACACUGAUUUCCCCCGGGUGCUGUAAAUAUGAAAGAAGCAAUUACGUCUUACGAUCUAUUGAGGCUAAUCCCGAGUGGAAUGAUU